Crenichthys baileyi (White River springfish) is the source of this 94-nucleotide non-coding RNA. The record is from the annotation of a GenBank genome assembly. NCBI's taxonomy places the organism in Eukaryota, Metazoa, Chordata, Actinopteri, Cyprinodontiformes, Goodeidae.
GCGCUGGUGGUGUAGGGGUUGGCGCGCGACCACGUGUAGAGGCUGUGGUCCUCGAGGCGGCCGUCCCAGGUUCGAGUCCCGGACCCAGCGACCU